This 448-nucleotide ribosomal RNA is filed under the name uncultured bacterium. Its description in RNAcentral is "bacterial SSU rRNA". It matches the Rfam family "Bacterial small subunit ribosomal RNA", at positions 330 to 792 of the family's 1533-position model. The record is from RNAcentral.
CCCAGACUCCUACGGGAGGCAGCAGUGGGGAAUAUUGGGCAAUGGGCGCAAGCCUGACCCAGCAACGCCGCGUGAAGGAAGAAGGCUUUCGGGUUGUAAACUUCUUUUCUCAGGGACGAAGAAAGUGACGGUACCUGAGGAAUAAGCCACGGCUAACUACGUGCCAGCAGCCGCGGUAAUACGUAGGGGGCGAGCGUUAUCCGGAUUCACUGGGUGUAAAGGGAGCGUAGACGGCCAAGCAAGCCAGGGGUGAAAGCCCGGGGCCCAACCCCGGGACUGCCCUUGGAACUGCUUGGCUGGAGUGCGGGAGGGGCAGGCGGAAUUCCUGGUGUAGCGGUGAAAUGCGUAGAUAUCAGGAGGAACACCGGCGGCGAAGGCGGCCUGCUGGACCGCGACUGACGUUGAGGCUCGAAGGCGUGGGGAGCAAACAGGAUUAGAUACCCGAGUA